AUUGAACGCUGGCGGCAGGCCUAACACAUGCAAGUCGAGCGGAUGAAGGGAGCUUGCUCCUGGAUUCAGCGGCGGACGGGUGAGUAAUGCCUAGGAAUCUGCCUGGUAGUGGGGGAUAACGUCCGGAAACGGGCGCUAAUACCGCAUACGUCCUGAGGGAGAAAGUGGGGGAUCUUCGGACCUCACGCUAUCAGAUGAGCCUAGGUCGGAUUAGCUAGUUGGUGGGGUAAAGGCCUACCAAGGCGACGAUCCGUAACUGGUCUGAGAGGAUGAUCAGUCACACUGGAACUUAGACACGGUCCAGACUCCUACGGGAGGCAGCAGUGGGGAAUAUUGGACAAAGGGCGAAAGCCUGAUCCAGCCAUGCCGCGUGUGUGAAGAAGGUCUUCGGAUUGUAAAGCACUUUAAGUUGGGAGGAAGGGCAGUAAGUUAAUACCUUGCUGUUUUGACGUUACCAACAGAAUAAGCACCGGCUAACUUCGUG
RNAcentral lists this ribosomal RNA (484 nucleotides) under uncultured bacterium. RNAcentral describes it as "partial 16S ribosomal RNA". It matches the Rfam family "Bacterial small subunit ribosomal RNA", at positions 30 to 507 of the family's 1533-position model. The record is from RNAcentral.